AACGAACGCUGGCGGCAGGCUUAACACAUGCAAGUCGAACGGGUGUAGCAAUACAUCAGUGGCAGACGGGUGAGUAACACGUGGGAACCUUCCUAGGGGUACGGAACAACUCAGGGAAACUUGAGCUAAUACCGUAUACGUCCGUGAGGAGAAAGAUUUAUCGCCCUUAGACGGGCCCGCGUCGGAUUAGGUAGUUGGUGGGGUAACGGCCUACCAAGCCUACGAUCCGUAGCUGAUCUGAGAGGAUGAUCAGCCACACUGGGACUGAGACACGGCCCAGACUCCUACGGGAGGCAGCAGUGGGGAAUCUUGGACAAUGGGCGCAAGCCUGAUCCAGCCAUGCCGCGUGAGUGAAGAAGGCCUUC
This 365-nucleotide ribosomal RNA is filed under the name uncultured bacterium. RNAcentral's name for it is "bacterial SSU rRNA". It matches the Rfam family "Bacterial small subunit ribosomal RNA", at positions 29 to 419 of the family's 1533-position model. The record is from RNAcentral.